UCAUCUCUUCCUAGUACUUUGGGAGCAGAAAACCUCUGUAGUGACAGGAAUUGGUUAAUUCUUCCAGGCUCUUCAUCGCACAGCCUCAGCACUUCACGGAUUCUUCUUGCUGCCAAGCUGACCAGCACUUAAACUGAUACUUUUCCUGCUUAAGAAAAAACACAGCAGAUUUUUUUUCCAAAAUACAACCACGAGUAAGUUGACUCUUCCCCUAAAGUAAAUGUGGACUGAAAGUGAACUUGGGAAGAUCAAGGGAACUGCACAAUCCUUUCAAAUGCUCUGCAAGGGACAAUGGAAGGUCAGAGUGCAGAAAGCAGAGAUUCUUAUACCUUCCUGCAAGCAGAUCUUUCUCAGUUGUCCCAGCCCUAAGGUAUCAUGGAAGGUAUCACCCUCUUGCCCUCCCUUUCAGGGACAACCGAACCUUGGUUCAUAGAGAAGCACCUAACACACCUCCAGGGAAUAGCGGCUGAGGACUGAGGAGUUCUGGAUCCUUAUUUGCACACAGCGAUGAUGUGGAAAAAGGAAAAGUGACAGAUGUUUUCAUCCUGGACUGGCUGGAAGGGCAGGGCAGGGACGCCUUCUCCUUGCCGAGCUUUCACUUACACUCCGCUGCUCCGUCCCACGUCACUCACAGCAGCCUUAGGACCAAAUUAAAGCUCCCGCGGUGUCAGUUUUUAGAGGAGUCUCCCCUCAUGCCGCUGGAUGCAGCAGAUGGAGCGGCGCGCUCCGCUCCCGGCUCCCAGCCCGCUGUCCCUGGUGCUGGAGCCGCUCCCUUCGCCGCCGCUCCCGCUCCCAGCGGGGACCCGCUGGAUCCCGGCGCUCCAAGCCCUCCCCUGGCAUGAAGGGCCCUUCCAACCAACCUCCCGCAGCGGCUGUGGCAGAGGACGAGGAGCCCUCCCGUUCCCACAGCUCGGCAUUUCCCAGGGAGCGCCAGCUGGCCGUGCUGUCAGCCCCGGGCACAGGGACCAGCCUCAGGGCUGGCCGGGACCUCGGGACCUGUGCAGAGACCACGUUGUGAUCUGGAAAUAAAGCCAGCACUACCAAAAACAAUUGGAAAAACUGGAAUUUUGAAGUGCUGAGACGGAUAAUUUGAAGUCAUGCUGGACCUAUCCAGGUUCAUCCCAUUUUUCCUUAUGGGAAUGCAAGAGCAUGCAGUUGAGCUGUGGCCAAACCUCCCCAGCUCAGCUACUGAGACCCACAAGUACAGAAACAGUCAGUCAUGGCAGAGUGCUCAGUACCCAAGAAACACUGCUGAACAUUUCCUACUAUUGUACUGUUCAUAUCAACUACAUAUUUCUAUUUAAAAUGUGGACAUCCUAUGUGUUCAUCUGUGAAAUGAUUUGGAUUAUUUUUAUCUAGAUAAAUUCAGUAUUGUGCAUGUGUAUAAUCAAAAUAAAUAACAUAUAUGACA
Molecule: long non-coding RNA, 1411 nt
Organism: Corapipo altera (White-ruffed manakin)
Lineage: Eukaryota; Metazoa; Chordata; Aves; Passeriformes; Pipridae
Exons: 3
Source: RefSeq, a predicted model, not a curated record